Molecule: non-coding RNA, 119 nt
Organism: Picea glauca (white spruce)
Lineage: Eukaryota; Viridiplantae; Streptophyta; Pinopsida; Pinales; Pinaceae
Source: Rfam
GAGUGCGAUCAUACCAGCGUUAAUGCACCGGAUCCUAUCAGAAAUCCGCAGUUAAGUGCGCUUGGGCUAGAGUAGUACUGGGAUGGGUGAGCUCUCGGGAAGUCCUAGUAUUGCACCCU